This 421-nucleotide ribosomal RNA is filed under the name Thalassiosira minuscula. Its description in RNAcentral is "partial Eukaryotic large subunit ribosomal RNA". It matches the Rfam family "Eukaryotic large subunit ribosomal RNA", at positions 13 to 437 of the family's 3401-position model. The record is from RNAcentral. Lineage: Eukaryota; Bacillariophyta; Thalassiosirophyceae; Thalassiosirales; Thalassiosiraceae.
AAGCAAGACUACCCGCUGAACUUAAGCAUAUCAAUAAGCGGAGGAAAAGAAACCAACCGGGAUUGCCUCAGUAACGGCGAGUGAAGCGGCAAAAGCUCAAAUUUGAAAUCUGCGUAAGCCGAGUUGUAAUUUGAAGAUGGCUACUUUGGUAAUGGCUCUUGUCUAUGUUCCUUGGAACAGGACGUCACAGAGGGUGAGAAUCCCGUACGUGGUCGCUAGCCUUUACCGUGUAAAGCCCCUUCGACGAGUCGAGUUGUUUGGGAAUGCAGCUCUAAAUGGGAGGUAAAUUUCUUCUAAAGCUAAAUAUUGGCCAGAGACCGAUAGCGCACAAGUAGAGUGAUCGAAAGAUGAAAAGCACUUUGAAAAGAGAGUUAAAAAGCACGUGAAAUUGUUGAAAGGGAAGCGCUUGCAAUCAGACUUG